Long non-coding RNA from Aegilops tauschii subsp. strangulata, 1689 nucleotides. RefSeq lists it as uncharacterized. NCBI's taxonomy places the organism in Eukaryota, Viridiplantae, Streptophyta, Magnoliopsida, Poales, Poaceae. The record is from RefSeq and is a predicted model, not a curated record.
CCGUGGUGGCGGAAGGUUGUCUUCCGAGCGGGCCGUUCUUCUCUCAUUGCCUCUAUCCAUCUCUCUACAUACUCCGCUGCUAGCCAAGCUUUCGAGGGCUGCUGCCACUAGAGAUUUGUGGGUUCCUGCCAACCUUGAUCCCCAUGGUCGCCACCAUCGUCGGCUCCGCUGGCCCAAAUCCCGCGCCCAGGUAUCGUCCCGGAUGCCCAAAUCAGAUGCGCUGCCGCCGGGAGCGGGCCGUCCUCCUCCGACAUCACCUGGAUUAGAGGAUCAGAGGAUAUGACAUAGUCCAGUUUAUUUUCAGGUACGUUGUUUCCUAUCAGUAUUAUUCCAUUGUAAAUGUCAUGGGUUCGAUAUAGUACCCGAGUGAUACAAUUUUGUGACUGACUGUGUUGUUGUUCCCCUACAAAUGGUUAUUAUUUUCACAUGCGAUCAUCUACUUACAUAAAUGAGAUAAAAUAAGUUGCUCUUAUGAACACGGCUUUGUUCAAAACUUGCAUGGACGCUGCAUUCUAUCCACAAACAUGCCAUGCUCCAACCACGAGUUUCUAUAUCGCAAGCCUUAAAAAUCUUCUCAACAUGUAUGUGUGCGGCAGCCAGCAAUCCAAGUCUGUGGACAUCAAUUUUAAGAAAAUCGGACGACCGCCGUCCUUGAUGCAGCCACCCACUGGAGGUACCGUAGCAGACUGGUGAUGCAAUACUUCGCAAUCCUAGACACAGUUUGAGUUUUUCGCUCGCCGAACUAAGACUGUAGCAGAAUGUAAUAUUUUUCAGGGAUUGUAUUAAUUCUCAUCCCCUUUUUAGUUAACAUUCCUGUCAAAACUGAAUUUAGUUUCAAGUUGAGAUGGAGGAAGAAACUGAAACAUUAACUCACAUAUUCUCUCAAAUGCUAAUUUCGCAAUCUCUAGAAGUAAGAAAAUCUCCUCCUUUAAAUAUCACUACAGAUUCUUAUUCUUUCAUUGCUACAGAAUUGUUUCAAUUUUACACCUUUAGUCCAAUUAUGAUUCACUUUUGUCUCUUCAUUAUCGUAGUUGUUCGAUACAAAGUUCAUGCCAUUGUUUUUGGAAGAUGUUACCUUGACGUCCCAAAUCAUAACUAUUACAGUAUUAACUGGAAUAGAACAGAAAAAAUGCAUGAUAUGGUGAUGGAAUACCAUGUUCAAUACUUCAAUCGAAGUCCAUCACCGUGCUAUGUUUAAGAGCUUUCUCCCUUGACUGGUCUUGCUUUAUCAACUAAAAUCAUCUACUUACAUUUCUGGAAGAUUGCUCUAAUAUUGUUAUUUUUCUUGCUAAUUGUUGUCUAAUAUUUCCUUUACUUAAUGUAGCAGAGGUUCAAUUACUUUGCAGAUUUAAUGGCACAACCAAAAUUGGUAUGCUUAUGUUCUUCACAUCAUGCACGUCUUUUUACACAUUGUUUCCUUUCUACUUUUCAAUUGCCAACACCGCGCUAUUGUCAUCGACUGAAGAUAAGAUGAAGAAAAGAAAUGGGUACGAUCGAUGCGGAUGACUAAGAAUCAUUACCACCUACCAAGUUAAUCACCGAUGCCUAUUUGAUUUGUCGUACAUAUUUGCUCUUUUUGUGAGACGUUUUGUAUGAACAGAUGAUUUCGUGUGUAUUGUUCAAUCUAAUGAAAUGGGUUUAAUUUAGCCGUGAGACAAGCCAGUUAACAAGUAUCUUCACAUUCAUUUA